GACGAACGCUGGCGGCGUGCUUAACACAUGCAAGUCGAACGGAAAGGCCCUGCUUUUGUGGGGUGCUCGAGUGGCGAACGGGUGAGUAACACGUGUGUAAACUCCCCUUGACUUUGGGAUAACUUCAGGGAACUGGGGCUAAUACCGGAUAGGAGCUCCUGCUGCAUGGUGGUGAUUGGAAAGUUUCGGCGGUUGGGGAUGGACUCGCGGGUUAUCAGCUGGUUGGUGGGGUAGUGGCUUACCAAGGUUUUGACGGGUAGCCGGCCUGAGAGGGUGACCGGCCACAUUGGGACUGAGAUACGGCCCAGACUCCUACGGGAGGCAGCAGUGGGGAAUAUUGCACAAUGGGCGGAAGCCUGAUGCAGCAACGCCGCGUGCGGGAUGACGGCCUUCGGGUUGUAAACCGCUUUCGCCUGUGACGAAGCGUGAGUGACGGUAAUGGGUAAAGAAGCACCGGCUAACUACGUG
This 468-nucleotide ribosomal RNA is filed under the name uncultured bacterium. RNAcentral's name for it is "partial 16S ribosomal RNA". It matches the Rfam family "Bacterial small subunit ribosomal RNA", at positions 28 to 507 of the family's 1533-position model. The record is from RNAcentral.